ACUUAGGUAGCUUAAAAUAGAGCAUUACACUGAAGCUGUAGAGGUGGUAACUUUUACCCUUAGGUA
This 66-nucleotide transfer RNA is filed under the name Plesionika izumiae. RNAcentral's name for it is "tRNA-Phe". It matches the Rfam family "tRNA". From Rfam's summary of the family: Transfer RNA (tRNA) molecules are approximately 80 nucleotides in length. Their secondary structure includes four short double-helical elements and three loops (D, anti-codon, and T loops). Further hydrogen bonds mediate the characteristic L-shaped molecular structure. tRNAs have two regions of fundamental functional importance: the anti-codon, which is responsible for specific mRNA codon recognition, and the 3' end, to which the tRNAs corresponding amino acid is attached (by aminoacyl-tRNA synthetases). tRNAs cope with the degeneracy of the genetic code in two manners: having more than one tRNA (with a specific anti-codon) for a particular amino acid; and 'wobble' base-pairing, i.e. permitting non-standard base-pairing at the 3rd anti-codon position. The record is from RNAcentral. Lineage: Eukaryota; Metazoa; Arthropoda; Malacostraca; Decapoda; Pandalidae.